GAUGAAGAACGCAGCGAAAUGCGAUACGUAAUGUGAAUUGCAGAAUUCAGUGAAUCAUCGAGUCUUUGAACGCACAUUGCGCCCCCUGGUAUUCCGGGGGGCAUGCCUGUCCGAGCGUCAUUGCUGCCCUCAAGCACGGCUUGUGUGUUGGGCCUCCGUCCUCCUCCCGGGGGACGGGCCCGAAAGGCAGCGGCGGCACCGCGUCCGGUCCUCGAGCGUAUGGGGCUUCCUCACCCGCUCUUGUAGGCCCGGCCGGCGCUUGCCGACACAUCAAUCUUUUUUCCAGGUUGACCUCGGAUCAGGUAGGGAUACCCGCUGAACUUAAGCAUAUCAAUAAGCGGAGGA
This 345-nucleotide unclassified non-coding RNA is filed under the name soil metagenome. RNAcentral's name for it is "partial contains 5.8S ribosomal RNA, internal transcribed spacer 2, and large subunit ribosomal RNA". The stretch from base 1 to 120 matches the Rfam family "5.8S ribosomal RNA", at positions 35 to 154 of the family's 154-position model. The record is from RNAcentral.